ACGCUCGACACCUACGUGAGGCAGCAGUGGGGAAUAUUGCACAAUGGGGGAAACCCUGAUGCAGCGACGCCGCGUGAGCGAAGAAGUAUUUCGGUAUGUAAAGCUCUAUCAGCAGGGAAGAAACUGACGGUACCUGACUAAGAAGCACCGGCUAAAUACGUGACAGCAGCCGCGGUAAUCUGAGCGGGCUGGCAAGGC
This 198-nucleotide ribosomal RNA is filed under the name uncultured bacterium. RNAcentral's name for it is "partial 16S ribosomal RNA". It matches the Rfam family "Bacterial small subunit ribosomal RNA", at positions 328 to 539 of the family's 1533-position model. The record is from RNAcentral.